This 348-nucleotide ribosomal RNA is filed under the name uncultured bacterium. RNAcentral's name for it is "partial 16S ribosomal RNA". It matches the Rfam family "Bacterial small subunit ribosomal RNA", at positions 338 to 684 of the family's 1533-position model. The record is from RNAcentral.
CCUACGGGAGGCUGCAGUGAGGAAUAUUGGUCAAUGGCCGGAAGGCUGAACCAGCCAAGUCGCGUGAGGGACGACUGCCCUAUGGGUUGUAAACCUCUGUUAUAAGGGAAGAAGAAAUGAUACGUGGAGCAUGAUGCCUGUACCUUAUGAAUAAGCAUCGGCUAACUCCGUGCCAGCAGCCGCGGUAAUACGGAGGAUGCGAGCGUUAUCCGGAUUUAUUGGGGUUAAAGGGUGCGUAGGCGGUUUUUUAAGUUAGUGGUUAACCGUCGGGGCUUCACCUUGAUUUGCCAUUUAUACUGUAAGACUCGAGUUCAGACGCGGUAGGCGUAAUCAGUUCCGUAGCGGUGA